UAGAGAAUCUGCCCUGUACUGGGGGACAACAGAGGGAAACUUCUGCUGAUACCCCAUAUGAGCGUACCUGCGAUGGUAUUCUUGAAAGUUCCGGCGGUACAGGAUGAGUCUGCAUCUGAUUAGCUAGUUGGUGGUGUAAUGGACUACCAAGGCGACGAUCAGUAGCUGGUUUGAGAGGAUGAUCAGCCACAAUGGGACUGAGACACGGCCCAUACUCCUACGGGAGGCAGCAG
Molecule: ribosomal RNA, 233 nt
Filed under: uncultured bacterium
Lineage: Bacteria
Description: partial 16S ribosomal RNA
Rfam family: Bacterial small subunit ribosomal RNA
Source: RNAcentral